Cydia splendana is the source of this 2321-nucleotide long non-coding RNA. RefSeq lists it as uncharacterized. The transcript is spliced from 2 exons. The record is from RefSeq and is a predicted model, not a curated record. Lineage: Eukaryota; Metazoa; Arthropoda; Insecta; Lepidoptera; Tortricidae.
UUUUCGUGGUUCGUUGUGCAAGAUAUUAUCGUCGUCUUUACUACUUAAUAGUACAAGUCUCACUCGAUGUUGGCGAAAGUAAUAUCGCCUUUCGCGUACAUAAUUACUAAUAUCUAGCAAAAACAAAACAAACACUCUUGCAAGCAACUUUGAACACUAUUGCUGCGUAAGAAAGUCCUUUUGUAUAAACCUGUCAACUUAGAAUAGAUACUUACAUCAUCUAAUUACAGUUGUUGCUCAGUCAUUCGUGUUUAUUAAUAGUUUUAUACAACUACACUUAUUAGGAUCCACUUUCUAAAACAACGCACACAGUUCAAAGUAUGUGGCCUAUACCGUUGUAAACAAGGAGGUACUAUCGUCCACACUGUUAACUGACAAUUUUUAUAUAAGAGUGUUGAUGUUAGUACAAAUAAAUAAGGAUAUCACUAAUCUAUCAUAUAACUUAGAUUAACGUUUAGAUGCUUUACCUACUAGCGCGCCAUCCGACAGGGCAGUAGGGUCUCCGGCCGGCCUUACGAGCAACGCAAUACUUAGGUUAGUGUAGUGUAGGUAGUGCUUCACGCGGUUAUCACACUGAUGCAUCCGCACGUUACGCUGGUGUGCGAGCGAGACGGAGCUGGAUAACACAUGGGGGGUGUCUGUCCUUGUCAUAGUCAAACUUUUCAUUUCUACCUACUUCUAAAAAGUCCUAAGUGCCCCGUCAAUACGGUGGACUGGACGUAUUGUUGUUACCCACCGGCUCCUGGUGGGUAACAAUGAACCCGACUAAAUUACACGUAUGUGGUUAGGUUGUUUUUGGUAUGUUGUCAGUGAUGUUACAAGUUACAACGUGUUUUUGAAUUCGUCGCAUUGCGUAUGUUCUGUCCCUCACGGGCGCACUCGUGUUUCUUCUCUAUAUUAUCGUAUCUCUAUGAUGCGCGUAUCGUAUGUACGAGUAUAUCGUCCCGCUCGCACACCGGAGCGGCGUGCGGCGCACACAAUGUGAAGACCGCCUUAGGCUGUGUCAACCGUCCAGGGGUCAAUAACCCAUUUCGUUCCACAUUAGGUACAGUCAUUUUUAUUAGAAUUUUGAUCAAGUUAUACUAGAGUGGCGCUAUUAUCAAUCCACAAUGGGUUUUGUUUUCAAAUUGACUGUAUUAUUUGUUUGAUAAGUAGCGAUUCCAACAUUUGGGGAGAUUUUUCUAAAUUAUUUUAAUAUAGCGAAAUUAACGUUUUAUCAACUUAAACAAUAUUAAUCAGGCAACCAGAAGUAAGAUUAUAUUUUUUAAAGUUAAAGAACACAAAAGGGACGAUUUGGGCUGGACACUAGUUGUUACUUGUGUGCUUAUGCUUUAUAAUUAUAUUGAUGUUUGAAAGUGACUAAGUUUACCCGAGUCAGCUUUUGAGGAAAAAUUGGCAACUUCUCCCAUUUUGAUGAAAUAAUUUAUUUUCUAUUAAUUACACAAUAGAGAAUGCCUUAAAUAUUUCUAAGCUUCAAAUUCUGCUAUUAAAAAUAAUCUAAAAGGCACCACGCCAACACGAAAUUGAAUCCUAAGUAAAUGUCUUUUAGGUUGAUAUUUCAUUAUGCACGCUUACAGUAGACUGUUGAAGGGUUUCCUCAAGAGAGAGUCACUAUAGGUACUAUCCGCAGAAAAAGCUGACCAUCUUUAACUCUUGCCUCGACUAAUAUGCAAGCGUGGAUAGGCGCGGGUCUACACACAACGAGCCGCCUCGCGAGGAAAUUGCCGCGCGAAGCAGUUCGGUCAGUGGACUGCCUCGCCCGAGCACGAGGCUAAUGAGAAGUUUUACGACCCCGGUCGUCAGUUUGGUUUGCGGAUAGUAUAGAUGCUGUGUUGUCCUGCCUUCAAGUAUUAUAAGAGCCUUAGGUUACUGACGGGACGGGGUAGAGAUACCAUUUUAAUGUCGCCAUAAUUUUGAUGAUAAUCACGUUUCGUUUAACCUUUUCAACGCUACAAGCCGUUGUCAGUGUUAAGACACAGUUUAGCCAUAGAUACAGGAAUAAUAAAGACACACAAAGUGAAACAAACUUAACUUUUGAUGAAAAUACAAUUAGAAAUCGUACAGCGCCAUCUAGUUGAUUGUUAAAAAGAUCUACGAUUGAUUCUUCCAUUUUGUGCCUACUUAUCUCUUGAUCUAUUGUAAUGUAUGUCUGGUUUAUAUGGUAUAGUAUAACGCUGUAAACUAUGACCACUUUAGACGUCAAAGGCGUUGAAAAGGUUAAGUGAUUCACAAAUGCCGUAUUUUAUUAACGACUUAAUUAAUUUUAAUGAUAGUUGUUGAUUUGUAAGAGUUUAAUGAAGUGAAUACAAACAUACCUCAUA